Molecule: long non-coding RNA, 3416 nt
Organism: Fundulus heteroclitus (mummichog)
Lineage: Eukaryota; Metazoa; Chordata; Actinopteri; Cyprinodontiformes; Fundulidae
Exons: 2
Source: RefSeq, a predicted model, not a curated record
GGCUCCUCAUCAUGGUCUUCCACGGCAUGUAUCUGAUGGACGACCUGCUUCUGGUGUCUGUGGAGCACAGCAUGGCCCUUCAUGGCUCCUCACUAGAAGGCAUUCUAUAGGAAAAAACAAAACAAAAAAUGCAUUAUUUACUGUUGGCAUAUAAUGGGAAAAAUAACAAUUAUAUAUUGAACAAUACAGGCGCAGAUACUAAAAUGUAAAAUACAAAAAUGACAAAUUAUAUAAAUUUUACAAACAAAAGGAUUAUAGAUUUUAAGUACUAGGAAAAAUAAGCAUAGUUUGUGUUGUCAACCCCACGCUUUUGCUGUAAACAUGACCUCAAAAGCUAUGAGCCUUAUUACACUCACUGUGAAAGUCAGUCUCACAUCACAAUAACAAGUAAAGCUAAAUGUAUAUAUUGACCCUCUAAAAUAAAAGGUUUGGAGCAUUGAUUUCACAUGUUGAGUAGCAACUACAGUAAAUGGAGGAAAACAUAUUUUACAUGUCAGACAUGUAUAAGAAAAAACCCUGUCCAAUUUGCGCAAAGCUCCUUUAAAAAAAAACCGUUAACAAUAGAUUGCAAACAUUGUCGAACAUUUAAAAUAUAACAAUAAAAAAUAAACACAAUUGUUUGUGCACUUCAUGUAGCAGCACAAGGCCUUUCUAGUGGGGCUGCAAGUAGUGAUUUUAUCGAUUAAUCGGUCGAUUUCUUGUGAUUAAUCGAUGAAUUGGAUGAAGUAAAAGUUUUAUUUCCAUUUCUUUUUUUGAAAAUGUAACUUUUGUAAUGAAAGAGCUAAUAAGCACACAACACAAGUUGCUACUAAGGUGUUCUGUUACAAUAAUAUUAGGUAAUAAAUAAUGCUUCAAAUAAAGAAGUUUGUUGAUUAGAUUCUUAGUCAAUCAUUUAAUAGUCACUGUUGUCUAUGAACAGCGAUUUAACACAACAAAAGUGAAACUGGAAAACGGGUGUCAAUGCAGUUUGGUUGAGCCUCACCCUUGAAGUCGUGCAUCUAGGGAAAUAACUGGGCAUAACAAUGCAACCAGAGGGAAAAAAACACUUCUGACAAUUAGGGCUGGGUAAAAAAUUGAUUUAAUCGAUGUUGGAUCAAUUCCAUUAAAAUUUUACAAAAUCGAUGUGUAGGGAAUGAGAUGGAUUAGUUUUAUAGUGAUGUGAGUGAUGUCGAUGUUCAAGAGCAGGUGUGGGCAAAUGCAAAAUGGCCGACGCAAGUAACGCACCGCUCAGCAAACCGUCUCAAUUGAAGUCUGACGUCUGGAACCGUUUUGAAUUUAAAAGAACUAAAGAGAAUGUGCUGGAUAAAACCAAAGUGGUUUGCAAGAUCUGUCAAGUGGAGGUCAGUUAUUGUAGAAACACUACAAAUCUCCAAAAUCACCUGACAAGAUAUCAUGCUAAGCUAACAUCCGACAACAAACCUUCCGGAGCUAAACAAUUGAUAUUGAGGGACUCGGUUGCAUUACCAGCAGAUUCUCCGCGGGCCAUUAAGAUAACAGAGGCCAUUGCGACUUAUGUGUAAAGAUUUACGGCCCUACUCGGUAGUGGAAAAUGAAGGCUUCAAACGGCUCCUUCAUGUGCUCUAACCACACUACGUUAUGCUGGAACGCAAACAUCUAACUGAAACUGUUAUCCCCAUGAUGUACACAUGAAUGAAAGACGACAUCCAAAUGAAAAUGCAGAGAGUUAGCAGAGAGAGUCGGCAUAACUUUGACACAUGGACAUCGCUGUCAACGCAGUCCUACAUGACGACUUCCCACUACGUCGAUAAUGAGUGGCGCCUCGCGUCUCAUGUGCUACAGACCACCGAAGUUACCUCGAGCCACACCGCUGCAAAUCUAGCCCAUAUGUUGAUGGGGGCCAUACAGAAAUGGGGGAAGACCAGCAAACACCCAGCAGUUGUUACGGACAACGCUGCAAAUAUGGUUUGUGCAGUGGAAUUAACGCAGCUGAAGUUCAGAGUGUGCUGCUUUGCGCACACUCUGAACUUAGCCUCACAAGCAGGUCUAAAAAUCCUUGCUGUGUCACGUCUGCUUGCUUGUAUGAGGCGUAUAGCUACAUUCUUUCACCGGAGUACAACGGCAAACCACAUACUAAAAGAAAAACAGAAGCUGCUUCAACUACCAGCGCACAAAAUAACACCUGACGUUGUGAUAAGAUGGAACAGUGCACUGGACAUACUGGAGCGCUUUUUAGAGCAACAACCAGCCAUCUCUGCUACUCUUUCUCAAGACGUGCGCAGGAAUGAAAAAGAUUUGUGUACCUUAACAGAGGAGGAUGUAACAAUUGCUGAGGAUUUGGUCCGGGUGUUGAAACCGAUGAAAGAAGCUACAUUAGCAAUGUCGGAGGACAAGCAGCCAACUCUGUCUGUCAUUGCCCCACUCCUCGCCCUGCUUCAGGAUGCCUUCCCCCCCCAGCCUUAAAGACAGUGCUUUAGUCAGGGACUUAAAGGCUGCUGUGAAGAAUAACUUGGGGACAAGGUAUCUAUGUAUUUUUUUGCCUUUUAUGUGCAUACUUUUAGCUGUAGCAGUCAGUGACUCAUAUUCCAUCAUGUACUUAUCCUCACUCAAACUGUUACAACACAUUUUUUUCCCCAAGAUAUGAUACCUUGUAUGCAGCGUCCGCGCUGGAUCCUCGCUUUAAGGCCCCUCCAUUCCGGUCUGCUGCAGAGCAAAAUGACACCUUCUCCAGGCUGAAGGCUGAGGCUGCCGCUGCUGCACGUCAUUUAACAAGAUAAUGAUGGCAAUGAUACAGAUAAAGAAGCUGAGGAUACUAUGCCCAAGAAGCCAAAGAUAUCCAGCACCUUGGAGUCUCUCCUUGGGACAGUCUAUUCACCAACAGUAAAGGAUCACAGACUAAAAAACUCCAGUAAUAAGGGCUGAAGAUUAAGUCAGAAGAUACAAAGCUGAAAAUUCUGCUGUGCUGAAUGAGAAUCCUUUGAUCUGGUGGAAGUCAAAUGAAAGGGAGUAUCCACUGUUGAGUCGCCUUGCAAAGCAUUAUCUUUGUGUCCCAGGGACCAGUAUUGCAUCGGAGAGGGUAUUUUCAACAGCUGGUGACAUCGUCACUGCAAAAAGGAGCUGCCUAAGCAUAGAUCAUGUCAAUGAACUAAUUUUCCUUCACAAGAAUCUCACAAUUAGUGAGAAGUGAAAAGAAAGACAAUAAUUUGACUUGGCAGUUUAAUUUAUUUUGUGUUUAUUUGCUAGUAUUUUUUUUGGCCCUUAAAAGAGAAAAUCCCUUGAUGCAAAUUGCUGUGUUGUAGUUAAAGUUACAAGGUAAAUACUUUUAUUUAUACAAAUUUGCACUUUUGAGACAGUUUUGUUUACAUACCAAGUUUAAACUGUCUUGUUUACGUCUGCACUUUGUUUGCACUUUGUGUUUAAUGUGAAGUGAAAAAAUAAAAUACAUGUGUUUUGCAACA